GAUGAACGCUAGCUACAGGCUUAACACAUGCAAGUCGAGGGGCAGCAUUUUAGUUUGCUUGCAAACUAAAGAUGGCGACCGGCGCACGGGUGAGUAACACGUAUCCAACCUGCCGAUAACUCGGGGAUAGCCUUUCGAAAGAAAGAUUAAUAUCCGAUAGUAUAUUAAAACCGCAUGGUUUUACUAUUAAAGAAUUUCGGUUAUCGAUGGGGAUGCGUUCCAUUAGUUUGUUGGCGGGGUAACGGCCCACCAAGACUACGAUGGAUAGGGGUUCUGAGAGGAAGGUCCCCCACAUUGGAACUGAGACACGGUCCAAACUCCUACGGGAGGCAGCAGUGAGGAAUAUUGGUCAAUGGACGAGAGUCUGAACCAGCCAAGUAGCGUGAAGGAUGACUGCCCUAUGGGUUGUAAACUUCUUUUAUAUGGGAAUAAAGUAUUCCACGUGUGGGAUUUUGUAUGUACCAUAUGAAUAAGGAUCGGCUAACUCCGUGCCAGCAGCCGCGGUAAUACGGAGGAUCCGAGCGUUAUCCGGAUUUAUUGGGUUUAAAGGGAGCGUAGGUGGAUUGUUAAGUCAGUUGUGAAAGUUUGCGGCUCAACCGUAAAAUUGCAGUUGAAACUGGCAGUCUUGAGUACAGUAGAGGUGGGCGGAAUUCGUGGUGUAGCGGUGAAAUGCUUAGAUAUCACGAAGAACUCCGAUUGCGAAGGCAGCUCACUAGACUGCAACUGACACUGAUGCUCGAAAGUGUGGGUAUCAAACAGGAUUAGAUACCCUGGUAGUCCACACAGUAAACGAUGAAUACUCGCUGUUUGCGAUAUACAGUAAGCGGCCAAGCGAAAGCAUUAAGUAUUCCACCUGGG
RNAcentral lists this ribosomal RNA (858 nucleotides) under uncultured Bacteroidales bacterium. RNAcentral describes it as "bacterial SSU rRNA". It matches the Rfam family "Bacterial small subunit ribosomal RNA", at positions 28 to 877 of the family's 1533-position model. Lineage: Bacteria; Pseudomonadati; Bacteroidota; Bacteroidia; Bacteroidales. The record is from RNAcentral.